RNAcentral lists this transfer RNA (76 nucleotides) under Geobacteraceae bacterium GWC2_48_7. RNAcentral's name for it is "tRNA-Ala". It matches the Rfam family "tRNA". From Rfam's summary of the family: Transfer RNA (tRNA) molecules are approximately 80 nucleotides in length. Their secondary structure includes four short double-helical elements and three loops (D, anti-codon, and T loops). The record is from RNAcentral. Lineage: Bacteria; Pseudomonadati; Thermodesulfobacteriota; Desulfuromonadia; Geobacterales; Geobacteraceae.
GGGGAUGUAGCUCAGCUGGGAGAGCGAUGCGUUCGCAACGCAUAGGUCGAGAGUUCGAUCCUCUUCAUCUCCACCA